GGCAAGAGUAGAAAUGGCGUCAAUCAUGGGAAGGGCAAGGGAGGUACUAUUAGCUUCCCGCGGAGGAGUUUGUGUGGUCGGCAACCAGUAGUUGAGUCGCCGUGCACCGGCGAGCAGCAGGGUGUCGACGGUAACACCAUCAUCAGUGAAAAUGGUUAUUUCUAUAGUUUUUACAACUCAAUGUUCUCCUUGCUUGUGAUCUACAGUGUACUUGCUGCUUACUUAUGCAUGUAGUUUAUGUUGUCAUUUGAGAAUGAGUAAUGAUGAGUUAAUUUCAUCUUUGGGAAGGUGUCAUGUUGAUAUUUUAUGCCCAUGGAGCUCCAUGGGUAUAUGGAUAUCCAAUGGGUUUGGGCAUGGGCACAAAUUGUGUCCAUGAAUACUUUGGUGGAUAGGCAGAAGAUAUGAAGAUGGGUCAUGGGUUGUACUUGGACCAGCUCCACCCGCACCAAACCCGACCCAUUGCCAUCCCCAGAGAAAAUAGUUUAGGAAUGAUAGAUGUUUGGAAAUGACAAUAACAUUGUUGUAACUUAAAAGAGUGUUGCUCUGACAUUGAACCAUUCAUUUGUAGCCUAUUGUUUUAAAGUUAUUUAAUCUAUAAUAUGUAAUCGCUCUCAAGUUCAUAUGUAACAACCAAGAUAGGUUAUGGUUUUCUGGUGCAUUAUUGAAAUUUUGCUGAACUUUCUGAAUGUAUAAUGUUAAUACCACAAUUGCUUUCACAAGUAAUAUUGUCCAUGGAUAUCCUGUACUUUUCUUAGUUAUUUUAUUCCAUUUUUUCUCCUUGUGUUGAGCGGUUUUGUGAACCGUGAGAAAGUAAUAUUGUCCAUGGAUAUCCUAUACGUAAGAAUCAAAAUAUAUAUAAUUUUUCUUGCUCAUGCAUCUAUCAUAUUAUGUGUCCUAAGUCUGAAUCUCCUGAUCAGUCAAGUCAUGUUGCCUUGUGAUCUUUUUUUGAGUCAAUCAGUCUCAGGUCUCAGCUUGUGACAAUAAAAGAUAUUUCUAUAUUGAUCCACAACACUUUACAAAAAAGUAUACAUAACAUUGUGUGCUAAAAAUGCAAAGUAGUCACUUUUACUUCUUGGUUCAAAUUCCUUUUUCGCACCAUUUGACGCGAUAUGCCAUCUAUGUUUUAAGGAAAAGAUGGCACUAGAGUGAUAGCAGGUGUGAUUAGGAAUUGGGUGGAAACAAGCAUACUACUUGGAGUACCAUCUUCUUCUUGAACGAAUUUUAACUAUGCGGUUUAUUUACUUAUUAAUUUUCUUGUGGACUUUCACGUCCAGGUGCAGCUUUUAUCAAUAUAAACAUGGCUAUGUUAGAAGAUGGUGCAUGAAAUGUUCAUGAUGCUCUCAGGUUAUUUGAAUUCAAACUUUUAUUAGUAGUUACACAAGCUGACACUUACAAUGGUGUUCAGCUCCUAUGAUGGAUACUUCUACUGCAGAACUUACGACCUCGAUGCUAGAAGAUUCUUAACCGUUAAUUUGAUUUUUAGAAUUUUACAUGUUGACCUUUCAGGAUUAUUUCAGUGCCUUCUAGAGAUUAAGUUCAUGUUUAAUCCAUAGAUGGUGCAAACCUUUGAGUUGCUAGAUUGGAUGUGUUGCUUGGUUUUGGUAUAUGAGAUCUCUUAUGCUGAAAUAAUGUGGUGCUUUGCUAACUAAUGGUGUUUUUUUGCAUUUGUUAGGAAAAAACUUUUGUUACAACCGUUGGUUUAUUUUUACUGGAGAUAAAAUGUAUGUGAACUCGUGAAAAUAAUCGCACAGGAGGUGUAUUUGUUGGAAAUAUGCCCUAGAGGCAAUAAUAAAUUAGUUACUAUUGUAUUUCCUUUUUCAUGAUAAUCGUUUAUUAUCCAUGCUAUAACUGUAUUGAUUGGAAACACAAAUACACGUGUGGAUACAUAGACAACACACUGUCCCUAGUGAGCCUCUAAGGACUACCUCGUUGAUCAAAGAUGGUCAAGGUUUUCUGACCAUAGACAUGAGUUGUUAUUUGAUAAUGGGGUCACAUCAUUAGGAGAAUGAUGUGAUGGACAAGACCCAAACUAUAAACAUAGCAUGUGACCGUGUCAGUUUAUUGCUAAUGUUUUCUGCAUGUCAAGUAUCUGUUUCUAUGACCAUGAGAUCAUGCAACUCUCGGGCACCGGAGGAAUGCCUUGUGUGUAUCAAACAUCACAGCGUAACUGGGUGACUAUAAAGAUGCUCUACAGGUAUCUUCGAAGGUGUUUGUUGGGUUGCGUGAACCA
This 2230-nucleotide long non-coding RNA is filed under the name Hordeum vulgare. RNAcentral describes it as "long non-coding RNA (HVUL_LNC018091)". The record is from RNAcentral. Lineage: Eukaryota; Viridiplantae; Streptophyta; Magnoliopsida; Poales; Poaceae.